GUCCACGCCGUAACGAUGUUCACUAGGUAUUGGGAGAAUUGACCCUUUCAGUGCCGACGCUAACGCAUUAAGUGAACCGCCUGGGGAGUACGGUCGCAAGACUAAACUCAAAGGAAUUGACGGGGCCCGCACAAGCGGUGGAGUAUGUGGUUUAAUUCGACGCAACGCGAAGAACCUUACCUGGGUUAGACAUCAAGUGGAAGUUCCGCCCAAAAGUGGAACGUCCCCGCAAGGGGACUGCUUGACAGGUGCUGCAUGGCUGUCGU
Molecule: ribosomal RNA, 266 nt
Filed under: uncultured bacterium
Lineage: Bacteria
Description: partial 16S ribosomal RNA
Rfam family: Bacterial small subunit ribosomal RNA
Source: RNAcentral